CUUGACACUGAUCACCGUCACUGUGCUCCAGCUUCACAAGCUUAACAAAGGAACGGGAGAACUGAGCAACCUGACAACGUUUCUGAUUUAAACUCGGAAGCAGGGAGCCAUGAGGAUCCAGUUUGCAUUUGUGCUGCUGCUUUCUGCCACUGUACUCUGUCAGAAUGAGCGUUACCAGAAGUUUAUAAAUCAGCAUAUUUAUCAGCAGAUGAGAAUUGGCAUGUGUACUAGCGUGAUAGCUAGGAGAGGCAUUAAAACCAUCAACAAUGAGUGUAAGGAGACCAAUACCUUUAUCAGAGCUACCACAGGUCUAGUGACACCCAUUUGUAACGAUGCAGGAGAGCCAUAUGGUGAUAUGACCAAAAGCACAAAACCUUUUGACAUUGUUGUCUGUAAA
Molecule: long non-coding RNA, 397 nt
Organism: Oreochromis niloticus (Nile tilapia)
Lineage: Eukaryota; Metazoa; Chordata; Actinopteri; Cichliformes; Cichlidae
Exons: 3
Source: RefSeq, a predicted model, not a curated record